Molecule: long non-coding RNA, 3016 nt
Organism: Coregonus clupeaformis (lake whitefish)
Lineage: Eukaryota; Metazoa; Chordata; Actinopteri; Salmoniformes; Salmonidae
Exons: 3
Source: RefSeq, a predicted model, not a curated record
ACGGUUGACUGGCCUGCCCUGCUGAUCCUGAGCAAUAUGUGUGUGGGUCCCGUGUGGUUCAGUUGAUAGAACAUGGCGCUUGCAACACCAGGAACUUGGAAAGGAUGAGGGAGGGAGCUGUUGAGAUCUCAGGUCAUUGCAGAAGGAUGGACCAGGGUGCCUGCCCCCAUCCAGGAUCCUCAUGAUGGACUUAAGAGGGGCCAGCCAUCUGGCUUAAAAAGCCUGAGUCUGCCAUGCGCAGAGGGUUGUGAGGUAUUCAGGAGGUGGGACUGCCCAGUUCAGGAGGCCCCUAGCACACAUUGACUAGAAUGUAUCUUUAAAACCCCAAAUGGAUGCUAGGCUAACUGACUGUCUUGGCUUAUACAACAAAUAGGCUAUCAACUUUUUGUUGUGAUCAGUUUACAUUAUACAGUUUGUGUCUAUAGACCAGGUACAGUCCUCAUCUAACUUUAACUGUUCCCUAUGUCUCUCUGGCUGGGUGGGUUCAGGAUGCAUUUCCUGCUAUUUUCCCUGGGCCAGCCACUGGUCAUGGUCCGAAUGGGCACCGACCCUGAGCCGUGACCCCGAGACCCGGCCAGGACCCUGCCCACCUCCUGCUGUGGGCCUUCAGGCUGCUGAAGAGACCGGGGAGCGGAAGACAUAUGGCGUACCUCAUGGUAAAGAUCACACGUUCCAAACAAAAGAUUGCUACAAUUGGACCAGAAACGCAGAGGGAUCAGGGCAUCUGCGACCUUGCUCUCUCCUCGCCACACAAAAACAACUUGCACUCGCAGAGUUACCACCACUCUGUGGCUGUUGCUGCUGGCUUUUGCCCUGAUAUACCAUCUGUUGGUCUUCAGCAGGAAUGUGAAAAGGCUGUUCCGUUGAGGGUUCUUCGGCAUACCAAAUAAAACAUUUUAGCAAUGAAAGUUGAUUGUUUUGUUGUGGUCAUUUCACUAUACUGUAAGGAGUCAUUAUAGAUGAGCCGUUAGUCUAGGGCUAGGCCGAGAGGCUAAGUGAUGGAGGUCUCAGAACCUGUAAGCCAAUGACCAAUCAGAGAAUGAAACAAAGAUGCACACGUUUGAGGUGGAGAACUGACCCACUUUAUUGAUUGGUCUGAACUCUUGUAAUAGACUACUAAGAGACAUUGUGCGAUACAAACAUUGCAUUUCAACAUCACGGGAUACAUGGGUUUUCAAGUCUCAAAUUUUAAAACAGCCAAAAAAAGUUAGCACUGGAUGUUGACAGAUUGGAUGCCACCCAAAUGGCACCCUAUUCCCUAUAUGGUCCACAGGCUCUGGUCAAAAGUAGUGCACUAUAUAGGGAAUAGGUUGCCAUUGUGGACACAGCCAUCAAGCUGAAAAGACGCACUAAUUAUUUUCUGGCUUCAUUUCGAUUUUCUUUUUUAAGAUUCAAGUUUUGUAAACUUUUUGUCAUUGCCGUUGUAAACACUUGACAUCCCAUCAAAAAUAGGAUGUUGAAUAACUGAUGUUGAAAAUGAUAGGAAAAAAAUCAGAACAUCAGCUCUAGGACUUAACAAUUCAAAAGCAAAAAGAAAAUGAAAAUAAAUGAAAAGAUCUGGUUUAGAGCAGAUUGGGAUUGUUAUUUAAGCAAAGCAAAAGCUGAGAGAACCAAAACACAUGGUAUGCUUUCACAUAUCCGGACAUAAAGGUCUUUCAAUGGAACAUUACUGUCAUUAUCAAUGCUGACCUAGUCAUAAUUCAACAUUUAAAGAAGCUACAUGUCUGUUGCCAAAAAACGGUUGAUAUAAAUCUUGAAUAUUGAGAGAAUAGAUUACGAGGCCAUGGAUUUGAAUAGUCACCAUGACAGCAAAAAAACUACUCUUCCUUAACAUCUUGACUGUACCCUACACAAAAGUAAAACUGCAAUGCAUGUGUCACACUACAAAACCAUGUACCAGCUACAAGAGAAGACAGGAACUCAGUCAUAAACAUCCAGGUUUCCAUGAGUGAUGGGCAAAGUCAAAGCACAUCUCAGUACAAUCCUCUGCAGGAGCUUGAAUAAGUUAUACAACAGGUAGAAAGUAUGCUUUUGUUGUCAAAGGUUACAAAGCAAAAAGUGCAACAAUGGUGCAGACCAUUUAUGUUUGGUUAGUUGUCUUUUUUUGUCUAAAACAUAAAAGACAAAUCACACAAAUCGGUUUUCUGUCAAGACAGUAUAAAAAAAAGUUAAGAGGGACUACGGAAACAUAACAAAAAAACAUCAACGUAUAGCUCUGAGAAAAUGUGUUUAAAGCUGCCUUAUUUUUCUCCAGCCACAAGGCAUCGGCGAACCUCUAAAAAAAGGUUCCUGAUGUACUUUAGUUACCUUGACAACAUGGGUUGCAGAGUACUGUAAGUAGAACAUUCUGCACUUGUUGGAAACCCUAGAGGGACAGCUACGGGUCAGACUGUGCGCCAUACAGUACACCCACCGUGGUGGUGGCCAGCUUAAUCCAAAAACUAUUGGCUCAAUGACAGAGUUCAGAUCAACAUGGGGGCCCAGAAGUAAAGUAGUCAUGAGUAGAAGAAACAACUUGGGACAACGUCAAGCUUAUUAAUUAGUCUUCUUUUGCCUUUCUGCUUGCUCCUACACCAGUGUUCUCAACUUGUACCAAAGACAUUGGUUUUGUUUUUCUCAAGGGUGUGGUGACGGACUGACAAAAGCUUUCUUUAAAUUCUAGAUCAGGGGGAAUAUUGUUAGAUCCAUGCAUCAUCUUUCUCCACAGUGUUGCAAAGACAGGCAUCAAAUUACAAAGCCGUAAUUUAAAUGUUAACAUGUUUGUUUCAUUCACUUAUGUCCACAAUAUUCAGGCUUUGGUGGUGCUUGGUGGUUAGGGCGCCUCCUACACUUCUCUGUUCCCCACUCAUUAUCAAGUACAACCCACAGGUUCUGUGUCUCUCAGCUUCACUGUGGUGCUAGAUAGGUGGGGGGUAAGAGAUGGACAGGGAGAGACCGACUGUGAUAUUCAAGAUUAAACCCCCCCCCCCCAAUUCAUUCAAUAACAAAGUGGAUCCAUUUAAAAGCAUCACUAAAA